This 72-nucleotide transfer RNA is filed under the name Natrinema versiforme JCM 10478. RNAcentral's name for it is "tRNA-OTHER". Lineage: Archaea; Methanobacteriati; Methanobacteriota; Halobacteria; Halobacteriales; Natrialbaceae. The record is from RNAcentral.
UCCGGGUUGGGGUAGUGGCCUAUCCUUCAGCCUGUGCGGCUGAGACGCGUAGUUCGAUUCUCGCACCCGGAC